UUAAUUCUAUGUACUGAGUAUAACGUUAUCCGCGCACGUAGGUUAAGGAGAAAUCCGUCUUUUCACCUUUUACAGCUGUUUUAUUCAAAAUGCGAUUAAUAUUUGAAAUGAGUUUUUAUACUAUUAGCUUCUUAAAACACAUAUAUUGUCUUAUUAAUAAAAUUUAUUUAUGUGCCAACUUAUGUUUCAAUGUGCUAAUCUCAUGUUACAUGUGCCAUUUCCUGAAUAAACAAACAAACAAAAACAAACUUAAAAAAAACCCAAACAAUUCGGAAUUUCGUAUAUCCGUUUCGAUUUGGUUCUACAUUUAGCGACCUAAUUCUGCUUCCCGUAGUGACAGAAAAAUGGGUUUCGGCAAUUGGUGGUGUCUUAUUGAAAGAAAACUAAAGAAUUAAACAGUAUGGGAUCAUAAAUAGAGAAGCUUACAGGAGAUGGGGACUUUCAAAUGAAGGAGAGUAAGGAAAGUGAAUGGGGUAUUCCAAGAAGUGAAGAAUUAAUUGUCAUGUGUUUGGAAUUCAAGAUAUUGUACAACUAUUCCCACAAGAAGAAGCAUUUCCCUACAGACUACCGUGUGGCAAUAUAAAUCCAAAGGACAAACGAGGCCUAGUUAAAAGCCACACUCCUGCAAAUUUAGUCUAUAUUGUUUGCAUACAAAAGGACUCAACCAAUAUACAUACUAAAGGAAAAACUCUGCUUUAAAAAUUAGACUUAGCUGUCAUAUCCAAUGCUCCUAUUACUCAGUUAUAGUAUAUUUAAUGUACUGAAUAGGUUAAUUUGAAUAAAUUCACAAUUGUUUAAUAAAAAUUUUGUUUGUUUAUUUUUUAUCCUCACUCCAUUGUAGGUUUUUGAACUUUGGAUGUGACGUUAAACAUAGAAUUAACUUUGAACAGCCUUAAGUAGUGUAACUCAUUGAAAAAAUGUUUGUGUCCCAUGGGUAUACUUAAUGCUAAAAAUGUUUUUGUCCCAUGGUUUUCUGUGAUGAAAAAACUCAUUGUCCCAUGCCUGUUUGUACCGGUCCCAUCAUUGUGAUAAAUUUUGCCUGGUCCCU
Molecule: long non-coding RNA, 1048 nt
Organism: Saccostrea cuccullata (small rock oyster)
Lineage: Eukaryota; Metazoa; Mollusca; Bivalvia; Ostreida; Ostreidae
Exons: 3
Source: RefSeq, a predicted model, not a curated record